AGAGGACUUCCAGGUGCUCUCUGAAUGUGGGUGGGUCCUGUAUGUGUGUGUGCGCGCGAGAGAGAGUGUAUGAGCAGAGCUUCACAUGUGGGCUGCUGUGACUCGUCGGAGGAUGCUUGCCGGCUCUCUGCCUGCAAGGUCUCACUGUUCCGAUCACCCAUCUGCCUUACUAAAGGGGACGGAGACAGAAGCAGGGCUGGAGGGACGCUGCUAAGAGAGGUGCAAUCGCCGCAAAGAUGUUUUUCUUAGACGCUCCAACAGACAGGAAUCUACUGGCAAGAAGAAAGCCCCGGUCUUCCCCGCGAGAGUACAAAGCCCCCCAGUCUGCACACAGCAGAUGCAGGAAAGCUAGUCCAUCUGCCACCAGCUUGCUGAGCCACAUGGGCCUGAGAGCUUUAAUGAAAGUGGGGAGGGGGGGGACAUUUAUUUCUUUAUCUCCAAAGGUCUCUAUUAUUUACAUAAUAGAAAAAAAGUUUGGAACAAAAUCACUGCAUCCAUCACUGGAUAUACAAACAGAAAUAUCUAAUGCAUUUACAGCAUGAUUUAUUGUAAUUAUUGAAAACAAAAAAGAUUAAAGAAUUCCUACUGCUAGAAAAUUAUGUUAAAUUAAUAAUUUUUAUGGGAUUAUUGCUUCUAACAAUAGCAAAUAAUUAAAAGUUUUAUUUUACUGUUAAUAAAGAAAAUAUUUUUGAACAAAUCUCUGCUUUUGAUGCCUUUUUUUUGCCUCCAGGAAGUAUUACCGAAUUUUUCAUGUUUUUUAGCAGUUAAAAUAUGCAAAACCCUUUUCUCAGACAGCUCAAAAGUGCAACACAGCAACAGGUAAGGGAGGGGCAGAGCUACAUUCCCCUCUGUUCAGAUGGAGAAAACUUUGGUCACAUCCUCUUUCUUUUCUUAGCAUCCCACCAAAAUGUCUUAAAAUUACAGAAAUAGAGUAUUUCGGUGCAUCGUUGACACAAUUCAAUAUCAGUAACCAGCCCAUGUCCAUAUGGAUUUAUUAGAAGUAUAAAAAAGGUUAAACACCACUUUACCUCCAAGCUCUGAGCUGUGCACUAGUAUGAUUUAACAGGCUCUGAGUAGUACAUUAUCUCUGCGGCCUUGCUGAGGCAUAUUUCAGCUGCAUGAUAUUAUUAAGAGCCGUAACACAGACCAAAAGAUGUAGCGUUUUCAUUAGUGUCAACCGUCAGAGCUCUGAGGUGGAGGGGAUAAACACUAAACAAGCACGGCAGAGUGAGAGCGUGAAAGAGUCGAGGAGUUCAGGGCAGGGAAUCAAAAGGGGCUAACAUUAAAGAACUACUGUUAAUUGCUCUAAGCAUCAACAUUAUUCAAGUAAUUUCUCCCAUUUCUCUUUCAGUGCCAAAGGCGUAAGACUAGAAAGCUCCCCAGUAACAUUUGCUCCUCUAAAGGAGGAGGAGUGGGAGGGAGGGGGGGGGGUUGUUAUGCCCAUUUCUUCAUAUUACCGACACUGUGUGCA
Molecule: long non-coding RNA, 1471 nt
Organism: Cyprinodon tularosa
Lineage: Eukaryota; Metazoa; Chordata; Actinopteri; Cyprinodontiformes; Cyprinodontidae
Exons: 3
Source: RefSeq, a predicted model, not a curated record